UUUAUUUGUUUCAUCACUCUCUCUCUCUCCUUUGUCUCUCUCUUUCCUUCGUAUGUGUAGAUUAUUGGAGAGUAAGCUCGUGUAGAUCUUCUCAUUCUCGUGGGUUCAAAGCCAAUCACCAAAAAAGGUAAUUUCCGAAAUCACAAUCCACUUCCUGGUGUUUCUCGUCCUUCGAUUCAGAUUUCGUAGCUUGUUUCUUUUGCUUUUGGCCCUCUUCUACUGUACAGAUUUCUAGGGUUUUCUCAAAUUCUCUCUCGCUCGUUAGGAGUAGAACAGUUUUGAUCUUGAUAAUCUUAUAUAACCCUUCACUGUUUCGAAUUUAUGAAUAACCCAUCUUGUGUUAUGAAUUUCAAGUUGAGUAUGUUCAUGCCAAGAUCAAGAUUUUAAGAGGGUUUGUUUGUUUGUUUGGGGAUUUUAUGAGGUGCUUCUGUUGAUUUGGGUGAUUUGGGUGGGUCUUUAAUUCCGUAUAGAUCAAUAACAAGGAACCCAUACAGGAGAUUAGUAGUGUAAAAGACUGUAAAACAUGGGAGAAGAUUUACUCACAGGCCUCUCAAUUGAGAAUUAUCACCCAUCAACAUUUUUAUCCAUGGAUUCAAUUGCUACCUCCCAUGAGGAAUCAGACCGAGACAUGAAUCGGCAGGUUAUCCUCUCCCAUCCUCCCGAUAUUAACCUCCCGCUAUCCGUGGAGCAUAGUCCUCCACCUCAGUUGUGGAGUCACGACGCAUUUGAUAUGUUAGAGGUUGGGCUUGGACAUCAAAUCAAUGAAUCCGAUACGCUCAUGUAUAUGUCUAAGACUGAGAGAAAAUGUGCUAAGCGAUUUGAUAGUGUAUGGGGUGCUUGGAUUUUCUUUAGUUUCUACUUCAAGCCUGUUUUGAAGGACAAAUCAAAGUGCAACAUUGUUCAGGAUAGUAAUGGGGUCUCGGGGUUUGAUAAGUCGGAUCUCCAGCUUGAUGUCUUUCUGGUUCAACAUGAUAUGGAGAACAUAUAUAUGUGGGCUUUUAAGGAGAGGCCAGAGAAUGCAUUGGGCAAGAUGCAGUUGAGGAGUUACAUGAAUGGGCAUUCUCGCCAGGGUGAACGUCCAUUUCCAUUUAGUGUCGACAAGGGUUUUGUUCGAUCUCAUAGAAUGCAGCGGAAACAUUACAGGGGCCUUUCAAAUCCUCAAUGUGUACAUGGGAUUGAGCCUGUUUCAUCACCCAAUCUUAUGGGUCUUGAUGAGGAAGAGCAGAAGAAGUGGAUAGAACUAACGGGUAGGGAUCUAAAUUUCUCUGUCCCACCCGAAGCAAGGGAAUAUAGUUUGUGGAGGAGCCUUCCGAACACGGAUUUUGAGCUUGAGAGACCACUUCCUCCAUUAAAGAGCAAUCCACAACCUCCUCCGAAAAAAUUGCUUAAUGGGUCUGGAUUGAACUUGUCAACUCAGCCACCAAACCACAUAAAUGGAAGCGGAAUUGACCUCUCACCUGUUUGCAACAAGAGGAGGAAGGAUUCUUUCCCACAUGGUAAUGAUGAAGAUUGUUGCUUGCCCAUUAAUCCUCAUUCUGAUCAUCAUCAAGAUAUAGAUAUCCACACGAUUGAGCCGCCUUGGAUGAAUGAGUUUAGUGGAGCGAUGAGGAAUGUAAAUGGGCCUGUUACGGCUGCGAAAACUAUCUAUGAGGACGAAGAAGGAUACUUAAUCAUCAUUACCAUGCCUUUCGCUGACCCUGAAAGGGUAAAAGUUCAUUGGUGGAACAAUCUCACUCAUGGUGUUGUGAAGAUAUCAUCUGUGAGCACAGCAUGUAUGCCCUUUAUCCAGAGAAAUGAUAGAACGUUCAAACUGACUGAUCCAUCUCCUGAGCACUGUCCUCCAGGGGAAUUCAAAAGGGAAAUCCCACUUGCUACCCGAAUUCCAGAUGAUGCGAAGCUCGAAGCAUACUUCGACAAAAGUGGAACGAUGCUGGAGAUUUUAGUGCCAAAACACCGUGUGGGACCAGAAGAGCAUGAGGUUACUGUUUGCCUUCGUCCUCCCAAUGAUUUUGCGUUGUCUUGACUCUGGCAUUUGGUUGGAGAACUGUAAGGGUUGCUUACUACAUCCAUUAAGUUAAAUUCUGAAACAAAAUUUUUAUCCUAACUAAAUUACGUAGUCUUUCUACUUCUAACUCCCAAAAAAAACAAAAAAUUUGAUUGUUAUGGCUUUGUUUUAUGGCAUUUGGGUGGGAUUGUUCCUGAGCUUGAACAUUGAAGUGCGAAGCUCAAUAGUUUUGAAAUUGUUCCAUGUAUCGCUUCUGAUCUAGUCUCUCACUUCAUAUUUUGCGAUGCAUGUGGUGGAGAAAUGUAGAUGACAGUGGGAAAAGAACAAGCCAUUCUUCCGUUUUGUUGUACAGCGUCUGAAUGCAAAUGUUCUAUCUUGAUGAACGAAUAAACCAGUGGUUUACAGUCCUGGUGUCUGUAAUCUUGUUCUGUAUAUUUGACUGGGUUUUGCAUGCAAUCGUGGUAUAUGCAGUUAGAAUUGGAUAAUUUGUUAUAAUGUUUAGUGACUUUACUUUUUAGCCA
Molecule: RNA transcript, 2526 nt
Organism: Camellia sinensis
Lineage: Eukaryota; Viridiplantae; Streptophyta; Magnoliopsida; Ericales; Theaceae
Source: RefSeq, a predicted model, not a curated record